RNAcentral lists this long non-coding RNA (4792 nucleotides) under Nicotiana benthamiana. RNAcentral's name for it is "long non-coding RNA (NBEN_LNC009482)". The record is from RNAcentral. Lineage: Eukaryota; Viridiplantae; Streptophyta; Magnoliopsida; Solanales; Solanaceae.
UUCAAACUAAUUAAAGUCCUAAUUAACUGACUAGGAAAAGCUUAUGGAAUUCCAACUAAUAGAACCAUAACUUAAACUCUUGAUAGAUUUUAAAACUUCAUUUCAAAAGAUGUUACACGCUGAAUUAAAUAUAAGAAGUCAUGAUCAAACUUGAUAAGCAAAUAAACCACUCCUAUCUUGUGUUCAUGACGCACACUUCACCAAAACAAUCUCAUUGCCAAUAACAAACCCCACCAUUAUGUUCAAACACCUCACAGAAACCUUCUAACAGCACACCACACAUCAUCAUUUUGUCCUUAGCUUCUUUACCACCAAUUCAAGCAUGAUUACUUAUUUUAUCUAAGGCUAAAGCAAAUUUAAGACAUAUUUAAAUUGACUGAGUUCUCUAACACAACAUUCCAACAAUUCCCAAAUCAAAUACAAUUAUAAGAAUUCGACUAUUCAAAAUAGAAACUAGCUAGAAUACAUGACGAAUCAGGUGAUUAAAGGAAUAAACAUUAUCAAGAAGUACAACUGAAAUACAAAUACAACUACUGCCAUGCUUUCAACUCUGUUUUUCAUUUCUAUUUUCAAAUCGAAACUCACAUUAGGUAGAAUUCAGAAAAAAUGUACCUGAAAAUGAAAAAGGAAGUAAAUAAGUGAGGAUUCAGCACAGAUCAGCAGCCGAAAGCUCAACCAAAAGGAAGCAACAUCUGAGUCAGAAAAAGAAACCAGCAAUGGAACAGUGUUCUUCCCAAAGAACUGAAGGGGAUUUUAGAUUAUUUAAUAAUUUUCCAAAGAGAGCCAGCCGUUUUAAAAAAAGUACGACCCAGUACAAUACCACUCAGUGGUGUCUGGGGAGGGUAGUGUGUACGCAACCUUACCCCUACCCUGGGGUAGAGAGGCUGUUUCCAAAUAGACCCCCGGCAUAAAUUCCCAGAAUUUGCUCCUGGGGAGACUCGAACUCACAACCUCUCGGUUGUAAGUGAGGGUUGGUUACCAUCAGCCAGCCGUUUUAGUUUUAGGAUAUUUUCUUUUCCAAAAUCUGCCUUGAAUAUCAAGUAAUGAUACCUUUAUAGACAAGCUAUUUGGGCAGCCUCAAAGAAAUCAGAUUUGCACUUCUAGCCUUUUGAUAUUUUCAUUUUUGCUCUCAUACCCUUAGGGUAAAAUUCAGAUUCUCACAUGAGUUCCUAUCCCAGCUUCCAAGAAACUUCCUAAUUCAGUUAAAUAAGAUUCCCUAAGUUACAUUACCCAAAAUACCCCUUAAACCCCUGCUUUUUUACUUUCAGGCAACCAAACAGGUAUGGGUCAAUGUUGACCCAAGGUUCAAAUCCCAAAUGAAUAGGCCAGAAUUGAACUUAAGGCUAAAACAAAACUCAAAAACCCAUUUAGCUAAAUCAAUGAGAAGUAGAAAAGAGAAACAAAUGAACAACUUAAAAAGCCCAAAAUCUAAACUAACAAUUGAUUUUCUUUUUAAGCUAAAAUACCGAAUCAGAAUUAAACUAAAUUAAUAAAUUAAAAAAGAUCUAACUUAAACUAAUUAUCAAAAGGACAGUGUUAUAAUUAACCGAAAGAAAACAGAUAACAUCGUUCAAAAAUUUGAAGAAGAAAAUUGAGAAUUCACUCGAACAAAUACGACCGCUGCUUUAAUCAAGAGGGAAAACUAGAUUUGAGACUUUUUAUCACUUUCCAAUCAGAGAAACAAGCAUUAGAAGAAACGAAACAGAAGGAGGCUGGUUCAAAAAUGAAGCUGACGACAGAGACGAAGGAGCAAGAACAAAGAGAAAAUACAUCGAUGGCCAUACAGACAAGGCUUGAUAAACCUCAAACGACUCCAAUUUGACUCGCAACUAGUAUUAAUCGUAUGUUCUUUUUGAGAACAAACUAGCAAUACUCGUUUCAAGCCCAAUCGUUCACAAGAACUCGAGGACUUGAGAGAUUUUCUUCUCCUCCGAUUUCAAAUUUGAAACAUGUCCGAUUUGGCGAGGAUUUUGGGAAAAAUGGUGGGGAUUGGGGCUGAGGGAAGGGUGAUGGUUGAAAGGCUGGAUUUUGGUGGUGGUUGAAGCUAUCUCGCUGGCGAUAAUGGCGGACUAGCUCAAAGGCGCGUUAUCUGAUGAGGAGACGAGAGAAGGGCUCGUUUGGUCUUUUAGGUCUAACUGAGGGAUUUCGGACAGUCUUAUUUGAGAUAAGGGAUGUGCUUUGGAUCGUUGGAUGAAACAAAAUGAAGGGCCAGGAUUUGUUGAACUCAAAACGACGUUACUCUACUUCUAUACGACAUUGUUCCUAGUCUUAAUGACUGACCACUUGGAUCGAGUAAAACAAUGGGUUUUGGGCCAAAUUUGAUUGGUUAAUAGAGGGGAAUUCGUUGUGGGGUGGGGAAAAUUAAAUAGAUACAACCCAAUUAAGACUCCUUUCUCUUUCACUUCAACUUUCUUUUUAUUUUUAUUUUUCUUUUUAAUUCCUUUUCUUCUUUUUUCCUAUAUAAAAAUAAAAACCUAAAUUAAAUUUUAAAACCAAAUGAGCCUAUAAAAAAUAACUAAUUAAUUCUAAAUGACAAUUAUCAUAACUAAUUAACAACCAAAUUAAAGGAAAAAUUAUCAAAAAUCAAAACUAAAAUUAAAAAGUACAAAAUAAGUUAAUUUUUGUGAUUUUACCCCUUUUUUAUAAAAUAACUGAUUUUCUAAUUAAUCUAAAAAAUAUAGAAUUAAAUCAUAAAUGCAAAUGCAACAUAGUUUGGUAUUUUUCAUGAAUUAAAUAAAAUGAACGUGCACAGAUAAAUGCAAACAGUCAACAAAAAAUGCCACAAAAAAUCUAUAAAAUUACAAAUAAUGGGAGAAAUUUAUUUUCUUGAAUCAUAGAAGUAAUUCAUAUAGGGAAAAAAUCACGUGCUCAGUCACACCUCCUUUUUACCACACCCCCGCAAAGGGGCAUAUAAGGGAAUUCUUUCCAACUUAAUGUAACAAUCAAAACGAGAUUUAUUUAUUUAAAGAUUCAGAGUCACCACUUGGGAUAAUUUUAUGGUGUCCCAAGUCACCACUUCAAAUCCCGAAUCGAGGAAAAGAUCGACUCUGUAUUACAGUCCGCGAACACAGAAAUCCGGAUAUAAAAUUUUGUUAAUCCGGGAGAAAGUGUUAUGCAUUCUCGAGUUCCGUGAUUCUAGCACGGUCGCUCAAUAGUUAUAAUUGGCAUAUUAUCUGAGUUUAAUAUGUGUUUUAACCUAUGAUGCAAUUUUAAUUUUCUACUCGCUUUUAUUCAAUUAUCAUUUCAUGUUUUAGGAAAGAUUCAACGUUAUAUAAAACAUAUCUUGAACCACGUCACAUAAAUGCAACCGCGGUCUACGAUACAUUUUAUUUAACGUUGUUGAAAUUUGAAUGUGGGUCACAUAAAUACACACCCGAGUUUAAGGAAGUAAUUUUUAAAUAGCGCGCCUAAAACAACGCACUUUCAAAUUUGCGAAAGUCAUGAAAAGUUAAAUUAAUGACACGCCUCGAUUUCUUUCUAAGAACUACGGAUAUUAUAACUUUUCCUUCUAAGCUACUUAUAGAUUAUUGUAAGAAUAAAGUCGCUCAAUCAAAUACAGUCAUUUAAACCACAUAAUAAUUGUUUUCCACAAAAUUGCCUAUGCACAAUUGCACAUACGGACAAAAAACUCUAGAAAGAGUGCUCCUAAUUGUACUACUCCAUUCUUUUUGACUAAUUUUCUAGAAUAAUUAUUCCAACCGCAAUAGAUAACUUUCAAAAGGAUAAUAGUAAAAACAAUUUCAAAUAAAUUAAUUAGUACACGAUUCUUCAGCAAAGUGCUCGGAAGCAUUUCCUCAACAAAGCAUUUUUUCACACUAGCCAAUAUAAACAUUUUAGUUAAAUAGUCAAAGAUCUAAACAAUUUAAAAAAACAACAACAGAACAAAGCAAAUUCAACAUCAACACUAGAGAUUGAUUGCAACGAAUAAGCCAUAGUAGUCAAGUUGCAUUCAAUUCAACUGACAAAAUGCUAAAUGUUUGCAAACAUAACAGAGGUGAAGAUCCUUUUCGCAUUAAACAAGUAGAAAACAACAGACUUUAAUCAAACAAGCUGAAACCUAUGUCAAUUACUAUUUUACAAACAAAAUAAAAAAUAAACUGGAAAAUAAAGAAGGCCAAAGUGCAGAGCUUACCCAUUGAAAGCAAAGAAAAUAGUUCGAAGUAUCAAAUAGAAGCUGGAAAUGAGUCGGGAUGGGCGCAGUACACCUCGUCGGAAGCCUCAACAGAAACUCGACCAAAUCACCGGAAACUCGAAACCGACUCAAGAAACUCACUAAGCUCUGAUGACUUUACACGGCUGAAAUGGAUCUUAUACUUUUGGACCGGUCACUGGGCUGGAGACGGAACUGAUUUUGAGCAGUUUCAUGGUUGUUCUACGGCUAAUUUUGCAAGCUAAAACGUUGUUGAUAGAUUUUGGGCUAUUUUCAACUUAUUUUUUGAGCUACUUUAAUACCAAUUUGGGUUGAAGCUUUGAUGGGUUUAAGGGAUGUUUUACAGGGCUGAAAUAAGAGGUGAAAUUUAAUGGAGGUUAGUGUUUUGGUGUUCUAAUGGUGAGGAAGGAGAAGAAGAACGGGGUGGGGUGUCCUACGAUGAAAACGACGCUACUUUCUUUGUUUGACACCUCUCUAGGUCUUAGGCCUCUUUGUGUGUGUUUUCAGCUGCCAGACUUUAGGCGUAUUUCUUCUAUCUCCCUUGAAACCUAUUUUGUCUUCGUUUGAAACUUGAAUUGCUUUCCAUAUGUAUAUGAUUGUCAAAACUUGAAUUAUUUUUCCUGAAACUUGACUUGUUUUUCC